Molecule: ribosomal RNA, 500 nt
Filed under: uncultured bacterium
Lineage: Bacteria
Description: partial 16S ribosomal RNA
Rfam family: Bacterial small subunit ribosomal RNA
Source: RNAcentral
AUUGAACGCUGGCGGAAUGCUUUACACAUGCAAGUCGAACGGCAGCACGGACUUCGGUCUGGUGGCGAGUGGCGAACGGGUGAGUAAUACAUCGGAACGUGCCCAAUCGUGGGGGAUAACGUAGCGAAAGCUACGCUAAUACCGCAUACGAUCUAAGGAUGAAAGCGGGGGAUCGCAAGACCUCGCGCGAUUUGAGCGGCCGCUGGCAGAUGAGGUAGUUGGUAGGGUAAAGGCCUACCAAGCCGAAGAUCUGUAGCUGGUAUGAGAGGAUGAUCAGCCACACUGGGACGGAGACACGGCACAGACUCCUACGGGAGGCAGCAGUGGGGAAUUUUGGACAAUGGACGCAAGUCUGAUCCAGCCAUUCCGCUUGCAGGAUGAAGGCCCUCGGGUUGUAAACUGCUUUUGUACAGAACGAAAAGGUUUCUACUAAUACUAGGAGCUCAUGACGGUACUGUAAGAAUAAGCACCGGCUAACUACGUGCCAGCCGCCGCCGUAA